This is a non-coding RNA of Callithrix jacchus (white-tufted-ear marmoset), 4621 nucleotides long. NCBI's taxonomy places the organism in Eukaryota, Metazoa, Chordata, Mammalia, Primates, Cebidae. The record is from RefSeq and is a predicted model, not a curated record.
UAAAAAAUGCAAUUUUCUACCCAGAAAAAAAAUAAAUUUAAACAUUAUUUGAAUUAAUUAGGCUUUACUAAGGUUGAUGAAUACAAGAUAAAUACAAAAAACCCCAACCUAUAACCUGUAUGCCAAUAAUAAGCAUUAGAAAUGCAAAGAGCGAAUAAAUGUAAUAAGAAAGGCAAAGACCUAUAUGUUGAAAACUCUAAAACUAUACUAAAGAACUUAAAAGAAAACUAAGAGGAGCUAUAUAGCAUAUCACUGGUUGAGAAUAAUAAUCAAGAUUGUAUAGAUGUCAAUUCUCUCCAAAUCUUUAAAUUUAAUACAUACCAUUAAAAAUCUCAAUAACUUUUAUUUUUAGGAAUUUGGCAAGUUGAUUAUAAAACUUAUUUGGAAGAAUCUGAAUAUGAGAAUAAUAAAACAUUUUAAAAGAAGAUCAAUAAAAAUAACUUGUACUUUUAGACAUCAAAAUGUACUAUAAAGUCAAAGUAACUGAGAAUGUGUUACUUGUGUUAGAAUAGAUAAAUACAGCAGAACAGAAUAGAAAGGUUAGAAAUGGACUCAUCUGUAUAUGGGAUAUUCAAAUUGGGUUGGCACAAUUGAUUAUUCAAUUGUUAAACAAUUUAAAUCUUGGCUGGGCACGAUGGCUCAUGUUUACAAUCUCAGCACUUUGGGAGGCCAAGGCAGGUGGAUCACUUGAGGACAGGAGCUUGAGACCAGCUUGACAAACGUGGUGAAACCCUGUCUCUACUAAAAAUAUAAAAAUUCGCUAGGCAUGUUGGUGGGUGUCUGUAAUCCCAGCUACUCAGGAGGCUGAGGCAUGAGAAUCACUUGAACUGGGGAGGUGGAGGUUACAGUGAGCUGAGAUCGCACCAUUGCACUCCAGCCUUGGCAACAGAGUGAGACUUCAUCUCAAAAAAAAAAAAAAAAAAAAAAAAAAAAAAAAAAAAUUGGCCUUCGGACUUCUCUGGGGCCAGCAGUCGCCCGACUAGGGGCCUGGGGCCACGGGCUCAGCCGACUACCUGGACUCCAUGUCCAACCAACAGUUUGCAGGAGGCUGCGCCAAGGCGGCAGAAGAGGCGCCCGAGGAGGCCCCGGAGGAUGCGGCCCGGGCGGCGGAUGAGCCUCAGCUGCUGCAUGGUGCAGGCAUCUGUAAGUGGUUCAACGUGUGCAUGGGGUUCGGCUUUCUGUCCAUGACCGCCUGCGCCGGGGUCGCGCUCGACCCCCCAGUGGACGUCUUUGGGCACCAGAUUAAGCUGCACACAUGGAGGGCUUCCGGAGCUUGAAGGAAGGUGAGGCCGUGGAGUUCACCUUUAAGAAGUCAGCCAAGGGUCUGGAAUCCAUCCGUGUCACUGGAUCUGGUGGGGUGUUCUGUAUUGGGAGUGAGAGGUGGCCAAAGGGGAAGAACAUGCAGAAGCACAGAUCCAAAGGAGACAGGUGCUAUAACUGUGGAGGUCUAGACCAUCAUGCCAAGGAAUGCAAGCUGCCACCCCAGCCCAAGAAGUGCCACUUCUGCCAGCGCAUCAGCCAUAUGGUAGCCUCAUGUCCACUGAAGGCCCAGCAGGCCCGUAGCACACAGGGAAAGCCAACAUACUUUCGGGAGGAAGAAGAAGAAAUCCACAGCCCUGCCCUGCUCCUGGAGGCCCCAGAAUUGAGCCCCAACGAGUGGGGGCUAUUCUUUUAUCAGGAAGUUUCCAGGAGCAGGCAGAGUGGAGAAAGUAGGAAUAGGGUGCAUUGGGGCUAGUUGGCACUGCCAUUUAUCUCAGGCUGGGGUUCACACCAUCACCCUUUCUUCCCUCUAGGUCGGGGAAAAGGAUGAGUCAAAGGAACUCCAUUCAUGCUCUGUCCAAAUGCAAGUGAGGGUUCUGGGGGUGACCAGGAGGAGGGAAUCACCCUACAACCUGCGCACUUUAUCUGAGGCUCCAUCCCCAGAAUUUCCAGCUAUUGAAAGUGGCCUGGAUAGGGAAGUUGUUUUCCUUUUAAAGAAGGAGGUAUAAUAAUAAUUCCCAUGCCAGAGUGAAAUGAUUAAGUAUAAGACCGGAUUCAUGGAGCCAAGCCGCUACAUACUGUGGAAGUGAAUCUCUCAGGAAUAUCAGGCAGUAUUUUUUUUUCCACGUCUUAUAUCCUCAUACCCACUUUUGGGAUAGGGUGCUGGCAACUGUCCCAAGCAAUGGGUAGUGAUGAUGGCAAAAAGGGUGUUUGGGGGAACAGUUUCAGACCUGCUGCUCCUACACUCUCCCCGCCCUAUUCUGGGACAAAGUGAUUUGAUUUAUUUGCUCCCUUGGAUACUGCACCUUGGGUCCCACUUUCUCCAGGAUGCCAACUGCACUAGCUGUGUGCAAAUGACGUAUCUUGUGCAUUUUAACUUUUUUUUCCUUAAUAUAAAUAUUCUGGUUUUGUAUUUUUGUAUAUUUUCAUCUAAGGCCCUCAUUUCCUGCACUGUGUUCUCAGGUACAUGAGCAAUCUCAGGGGUAAGUCGGCAGCAGCUCCAGGUCUGCACAUCAGGAAUACUUUUUGUUGUUUUUGCCACUGUGGAGAGCAACUAUUUGGAGUGCACAGCCUAUUGAACUACCUCAUUUUUACCAAUGAGAGCUGGCUUUUCUGCCAUAGUGUCCUCUUGAAACCCCCUCUGCCUUGAAAAUGUUUUAUGGGAGACUAGGUUUUAACUGGGUUGCCCCAUGACUUGAUUGCCUCCUACCGGAAGAUUGGAAAUUAGUCUAAACAGGAAAUAGUGGUACAGAGAGGCUAGGAGAGGCUGGGCCAGGUGAAAGGCCCAGAGAGGAAGCCAAGAUUAAGUGAGGGUUGUCUAAUCCUAGGGCACAGGACGGGCUUUACAUCCCAGAUCCAUUCUUCACCAGAUUAGACAAGGCCUACCAUGCACAACAGGGUGUGUGUGUUCAUAAAACCGGAGUUGGUAAGGAUAAGUUUUAAGACCAGUACCCCUGUACUUAAUCCUGUGCUGUCAAGGGAUGGCUAUAUGAAGUAGGAGGGUCUAAAAUUCUAAACCUGUCGAAAUUCUUGGGUUCCAGGAAGACACACGAGCAGGGCUUUGUGGUGCCUGGGGCCGGUGUCCUGCCCUGCUGCAGUAGUGAUUCCUAGUGUCACGGUGGCUAAAGGAGAAAGGGGGUUUCGUUUACAUGCUGUGAGAUCACCGCAAAUCUACCUCACUGUGUUGAAACGGGACAAAUGCAAUAGAACACGUUGGGUGGUGCGUGUCUGAUCCUGGGUUCUUGUCUCUCCUAAAUGCUGCCCCCCUCUAGUUAUUGUAUUUGUCUGGGCUUUGUAGGACUUCACUUUUUUGGUGAUUGCUAGGUGGCCUAGUUCGUGUAAAUAUAAUGUAUUGGUCUUUCUCCAUGUUCUUUGGGGUUUUGUUUACAAACUUCUUUUUGUAUUGAGAGAAAAAUAGCCAAAGCAUCUUUGACAGAAGGUUCUUCACCAGGCAAAAAAUCUGAAACAUUAGUUUGUGGGGCCCUCUUCUUAAAGUGGGGAUCUUGAACCAUCCUUUCUUUUGUAUUCCUCUUUACCUAUCAGACCAGAUCUUCUGUCCUAAAAAUGUGUCUUCCACCCUGCCCUCUUUUCUGUUCACCCCCAAAAGAAAACCUACACACCCACACUCAUAUACAUUUAAUGCUUGGAGUGUCUCCACAACUUUUAAACAAUGUAUGCAAAAAUCCAGAAGAAGCUAGAAACCCUCCAUUCUUUGUUCCAGCCUCCUGAAUCAAGACCAAUACAUUUGUUUUGGUGAGCCACCAUGUCUGGCUGAACAUUUCUUGAUGUAUUCAUGACAAACACUUAAGACACUGCUGUAGGCUGGGCGUGGUCCCUUAUGCCUGUAAUCCCAGUACUUUGGGCAGCUGAGGUGUUGGAUCACGAGGUCAGGAGUUCAAGACCAUCCUGGCCAACACGGUGAAACCCUAUCUCUACUAAAAUACAAAAAAUUAGCCAGGCAUGGUGGUGUGUGCCUGUAAUCCCAGCUAUUUGGGAGGUGGAGGCAGGGGAAUCACUUGAAACUGGGAGAUAGAGGUUGCAGUAAGUUGAGAUCGUGCCACUGCACUCCAGCCUGGGUGACAGACCAAGACUCCGUCUCAAAAAACAAAAACAAAAAAAGACACUGCUGUAUUUUAGAUGGAUCAGACUUACUUAAUUUUUAAUCCUAAAGUAGAGAGAUACAAUUGGGGGCCUUCCAUAUAGAAAGUGGGGUCAGGAGGCCAAGAAAGGGAAUAUGAAUGUAUAUCCAAGUCACUCAGAAACUUUUAUGCAGGUGCUAGAAACUUAUGUCAAAGUGGCCACAAGAUUGUUUAAUAGGAGACGAAUGAAUAUAACUCCAUGUUUACUGCUAGAAACCAAAGCUUUGUGUAAAAUCUUGAAUUUUUGGGAGGGAGGGUAGGAAAGGCUGUACCUGUCUGUUUUUUUCCUGAUCCCUUUCCCUCAUUCCUAAACUGCAGGAGAUAGAGCCCCUUUGGGCUUUAGUGACCCCAUCACUGGGGUGUGUUUAUUUGAUGGUUGAUUUUGCUGCACUGGGUAUUUCCUUUCCCAUUUUCUAAUCAUUUAUUAACACAUGCUGACUCUUCCCUUCCCUUCUCCUUUCCCUGGAAAAAUACAAUGAAUAAAUAAAGACUUAUUGGUACUC